CAGAAAAGACCAAACAUACCUUUGCCGCGACACAACGUCCUCUUCCUUCUCCUUCUCAUCCUCGCUACGGGGCGGCGCGGCUGCGGCGGCAGCGGCGGCGGCGGAGAGGCGAUCAAUCGACGCAGACGAAGGUGUACUGAUCCUCCUCAAUAAGUUGGAGCAGGAGUUAUCAUGGCAAGCCUUGCUGAUUCUUUCUUAGCAGAUCUUGAUGAACUGUCAGACAAUGAAGCCUAUCCUGAAGAAGAAAAUGCUGAGGCAGUGGGUAUGGAUGAGGAUGGCGGUGAAGAUAUGCUUGACCUUGAGUCUCUUAAUUAUGAUGAUCUUGACAGUGUCUCAAAGCUGCAGAAGACACAGUGUUAUAAUGACAUAAUGCAGAAAGUUGAGGAUGCACUUCAGAAAGGCACAGACUUCUCCAAUCAAGGGUCCAUCUUGGAGGAGGAUCCAGAAUACCAGCUUAUUGUUGAUUUCAAUGCUUUGUCAGUAGAUAUUGAGAAUGAAAUCAUUAUAAUACAUAAUUUCAUACGCGACAAGUAUAGACUGAAGUUUCCUGAACUGGAAUCCCUUGUUCAUCAUCCUAUUGACUAUGCCCGUGUUGUUCAGAAGAUUGGAAAUGAGAUUGAUUUGACACUCGUAGACCUGGAAGGGCUUUUACCUUCUGCAAUUAUAAUGGUUGUGUCAGUGACAGCAUCAACAACUAACGGGAAGCCUCUUUCUGAGGAGAAUCUGGCAAAAACCAUUGAAGCAUGUGAGAGAGCCCUUACUCUUGAUGCUGCAAAGAAGAAGGUGCUUGAUUUUGUCGAGAGCAGAAUGGGUCGCAUUGCACCAAACCUUUCUGCUAUUGUUGGCAGCGCUGUUGCCUCAAAACUAAUGGGAACUGCUGGUGGUUUGGGAGCACUUGCAAAAAUGCCUGCUUGCAAUGUUCAGUUACUUGGGGCAAAGAAGAAGAAUCUUGCUGGAUUUUCUAGUGCCACAUCUCAGUUUCGUGUUGGCUAUCUUGAACAAACUGAAGUAUUUCAGAGCACACCUCCAGCUCUGAGAACUAGUGCUUGCAGACUUAUAGCUGCAAAAUCAACUCUAGCUGCAAGAAUCAAUUCAAUCAGAGGUGAUCCAACUGGAAAAGCUGGCCGGAACUUGUUAGAAGAAAUUCGUAAGAAGAUUGAGAAGUGGCAAGAACCGCCUCCUGCAAAGCUUCCAAAACCACUUCCUGUUCCAGACUCUGAGCCUAAAAAGAAGAGAGGAGGCCGUCGGCUUCGGAAAAUGAAAGAAAGAUAUGCGCAGACUGACAUGAUGAAGCUUGCGAACCGAAUGCAGUUUGGGGUACCAGAAGAAAGCUCAUUAGGUGAUGGCUUGGGGGAAGGCUAUGGCAUGCUUGGACAGGCAGGAAGCGGGAAACUACGUGUAUCAGCUGCGCAAAGCAAACUUGCUGCUAAAGUGGCCAAAAAAUUCAAGGAGAAGAGCUAUGGUAGCAGUGGUGCAACAUCUGGACUGACGUCUAGUUUGGCCUUUACACCAGUUCAGGGAAUAGAACUAUCAAAUCCCCAGUCCCAUGGGAACCUGCUAGGCAGUGGAACACAAAGCACUUACUUUUCUGAGACUGGAACAUUUUCAAAGAUCAAGAGGAACUGAGCAGAGAAGUUGGUCUCUUCAUCCCACCCACUGCAUCCGUUUUACCCACAGGAAAGGCCAACGGAUUGACACUAGAAGGAAUUCAUCAAACUCGGUGAGCUGGCACUUGAGAUAGGACGAAGAUGACAAGGAUUUUAUCCACAGAUGCAUCUUGAUUUGAGGAUAAAUUAAUGAAUCAAUCAAGUAAUACUCUGGAUGUGUUUGGGAGCUGAUGCUGAGGCAGAGGCAGAGGUCGAGGCAGCAGAAUCAUCUCCAUGGCCUUGACGGUUAUCAGGAUGCUUCACAUCUGGAUGGUUGGGAGCUGAGACUGAGGCACAGGUUGAGGCAGCAUCAGCAUCCAAGCUUCCAGCAGCGUCUCCCUGGCCUUGACGGUUACCAUGAUGCUCCAAAUCUGGAUGGUUGGGGUGAUCUUUUAGAGCAAUUUCCACCUUAUCUGGGUUGCAGUCACCAUGAAGCUCAAAUGAUCGCAAGCUCGGAAGACGCUCAAUUCCAGAAAUGGAUUUCAUCUCCCUGAAACUCCAAACAAUUUUUUCCAACUUAGGAUUCUUGCUGAAGCUGAUAUCGGUAAUGUCUUCGCCGUGGAUGAGAAGAACCUUGAGAUGCUGGAACUGUUUUUCCCCAAGGGUGAGCUUGCUUUGGACAUAUGACCUGCACCGGAGCCGGAGAUACCGCAGUGCUUUGAGAUUGCCAACAACUGCCAUAUCUUGUUCUCCUAGAUGAGUGUCGCAAAGAGUUAACUUCGCAAGUCGGCUGAGCUCCUUGAUCCAACGAGGCAGCCCACAUCUUAUGCCGCAUAUGUUCAGGCUCUCAAGAAGCUUUGGAUAUGAGAAUGCUGUAGGCUCUGCCAUGUUCAUGUCAGGAAAAUUCUCGCAUCCAUCUGGUACUUCAACACGGAUUGACAGAGAGAUGAGACUUUUAUGCAACUUCUCAAUUGCCUGGACUAAGUGCUUGAAGCUGUUUUGGUCACCAUGGAAGACCACACCUAGCUUCCUAAGUUGUAGUAGCUUCCCAAUGUCCAUCAGCUCAUCUUCUAUGCCAGAAACAACAACAUGGCACAAUACCUGCAGAUUUGUCAUGCUUCCGAUCCCACGUGGCAUACGCACUGUGGAAAAUUUUUCGGUCUGUUCAUUUUGUUGUUGGGUGUAUCCAGAGAGCAAAUGUUUUAGCAUUGGAAGAACUAAAGAUUUUGUAGCGAAUGAGCUCACGGUUGUUUCUCUGAUGUCCAGUGUCUCCAGCUGCUGGAGAUUUUGAAUUUUCUUGGGAAGUUUGGUGAGCUUACUUCUUCGAAGGUUCAGAUACCUGAGCUGAAAUAGUUUGCAGAUGUUCUCCAGAUGAUGGUCCUUUAAGCCAUCACAGCCUUCUAGAUCCAGCACUUUGAGCAAUCCCAGCCGAGAGAAUGCUGGCAAUGACUUCAGAAAAAUUGUGAGGUCAUCCAAGGGCUGAUCAUAAUGCUUGCGCAUGUUCCAGCAUGAGGAAGAACUGGGGCGUGGAGAAGCCUGAAGCUCUGCUAGGACCUGUUGCAGCUGACUCCUGUUCCAAAUCGAAACACGGUGUGCAAAAUCUGGCUGAAGAUCUGCAUCCACAAAGUUAUCCUCUCUAGCAACCUUGGUGAUGAACUUUGAGAUCAAGCCAUUCACUGCACAGCUCUUGAUCUUCCCAGAAGCGCCGAUGUCUCUCUCAAGAACAAAUCUUUUUGCUAAGAGCACACCAAAGCAUCGCUCGGCUUCAUCCAGCGCUGUCUGCCCGUUUCGUUCUGUGUUUAUGCUCUCAGCAGCCCAUCUUCUGACUAAGCUUGUUCUCCUGAUCAUCAUAGUACUGUUGCUACUGCUUCCAUCAUCUUGGAUAAAUAGAGAGAGAUACGUCAAGCAGCUCUUGUAAUGGACAGGCAGGUCGUUGUACCAGAACAUCAGGAUUUGCUGCAUGUUUUCAUCCAGCAUUAAACCAUGUGAAUCAUGCAGGCUAUCACACAAGCCCUGAAGUUCUUCCCUGUUCCUGUUAGGAUUGGCAUAAAGGACAUGGAGGAAUGCUCUGAUGCACAUGUCAGUGGAGUUGGAGGCACAUUUUGACAGUAUGGAUCUAAUCACUUCAUCCAGGUUACCGUUGCUGGGAUAGUUUUCAACCAGGGAGACAGCCUUGGCAUGGAAGAAGUCGAUGAGAUGAUCCAGAGGAGGGAAGACUCUGUCAUGUGGUGAACAGGAGUAGGCUACGGCAGGUGACCGGGUUGUCAGCAGGAUGGCACUGUGAGCCGUGUUGCCGGGGAAAGCUGAUUCGAUGCCACGCCAUAGCGAUUCAUCAGGAACAUCAUCAAGAACAAUUAGGUAGCUCUUAUCUUUCAGGAAGUUCUCCAUCAUCUCCUGAAAUGUCAUUCCUUGAUGAAAUCCCAUCUCGGAUGCCAUCGUUUCUGAAAUAAUCUUGGCAACGUCCAUUGCAAAUCCUUCAUGAACUUCCAUUGCCGCUGCUUGUAGAAAUCCCUCCUCCUCCUCCUCCUCCUCCUCCUUGUCGGAUGCUGUUCCACCGAUAAAUUCCUUCACCUCGUCAAACGUCGUUCCUACAGGAAAUUUGUUCCCCUUUGAGCCCAGAUUUUUUCUCGAAAAAUUUGAGACCACAAUUCUCUUCUUUUUCUUCUUCAGCCGCGUAUAUCUCCUCUUGUUCCUCUUGUCGUAAUCGGAUACCAUCCCUCCCAGCGCCCGAUGCAUGUGCUGAAUCAUAGGGAGUAUUUGUGUCAUCAUGUCUUGGUAAACCCAGCCGGGAUGAGAUUGGCCGCUGUGCCACUGCCUGAUUUGGAACAA
Oryza sativa Japonica Group (Japanese rice) is the source of this 4415-nucleotide RNA transcript. The record is from RefSeq and is a predicted model, not a curated record. NCBI's taxonomy places the organism in Eukaryota, Viridiplantae, Streptophyta, Magnoliopsida, Poales, Poaceae.